This 253-nucleotide ribosomal RNA is filed under the name uncultured bacterium. RNAcentral describes it as "partial 16S ribosomal RNA". It matches the Rfam family "Bacterial small subunit ribosomal RNA", at positions 524 to 776 of the family's 1533-position model. The record is from RNAcentral.
UACGAAGGGGGCGAGCGUUGUUCGGAAUUACUGGGCGUAAAGGGCGUGUAGGCGGUUAGGUAGGUCCGUUGUGAAAACUCGAGGCUCAACCUCGAGACGCCGAUGGAAACCAUCUGACUAGAGUCCGGAAGAGGAGAGUGGAAUUCCUGGUGUAGCGGUGAAAUGCGCAGAUAUCAGGAAGAACACCCGUGGCUAAGGCGGCUCUCUAGUACGUGACUGACGCUGAGACGCGAAAGCGUGGGGAGCGAACAGG